This 16-nucleotide small RNA is filed under the name Arabidopsis thaliana (thale cress). RNAcentral describes it as "ATSL210380". Lineage: Eukaryota; Viridiplantae; Streptophyta; Magnoliopsida; Brassicales; Brassicaceae. The record is from RNAcentral.
UCGACUUCUUGGCUUG